Long non-coding RNA from Daphnia pulicaria, 1697 nucleotides. RefSeq lists it as uncharacterized. The record is from RefSeq and is a predicted model, not a curated record. The transcript has 6 exons. Lineage: Eukaryota; Metazoa; Arthropoda; Branchiopoda; Diplostraca; Daphniidae.
AAAAAUUUUCUUGCCAGAAUGCAGCAACUGUCCAGACAAAACUCAAGAAACCCAAGAUUAUUUAGGAAUACUUUCCUAGACGUCCAAUUGGAUUUUACGACAGCAAUCUCGGUAAAGCAAUUUUCUCCCUAUUCUCCAUAAAUUUUGAGUCGCUAAGUUGAAAGUAAUUAUAUGCCUUAUUGAAGUAUUUUUUAAGAAUUAGAACUAGAAUAUUUUUAUAUAAAGUACUUGGAACCAAAGAAGUAAGAUGACAAACCUGCUUGAUAAGUCACGUCUGACAGUCUGCAGCAACAUUGUUUACAAAAGUCAUCUAUUUAAAGCGGGCAGAGAUAGUGAACUCCAAGGACGUGACUUUGCGCACGGGAUGCUAGAAUGACUACUGCAAGGUGACCCAUUCCGCUUAUUCGUCGACUGGCUUUCUUUUUCGUUCUAGAGCUCUUGACUUUGCGAUUACAUCAGGGUCAGACGGAAUUAUUCACAAUGAAGGGAAAAAAAACAUAAAAACAAUGCUUUUAUUGGCAUGCCUAAUUAACGUUAAAAUGACACGAUGGUAGUCUUUUGAAUGCAGCAAUGAUGGCAAUAAUUUUUUUUUUCUAUUUAAGAUAAGAGAAUAAUGCGAUGUGGAAUGUUGAAUGGAAUCGCUUGAAUGACCGCAGCAGUACAAAUUAAUUGCUUGGAUAAGGAAACCUUCACUUCUGUCGGAUAUCCCCGUAAAAAAGCCAUUUUUAAGUCUUCAAAAUAGUGGAAAAGGGAGUGACACGGCCACUGUUACUUGAAACCAUCAACUUUCCGGGAAGCAGCCUGCGUCAACUGAGGAAAAAGUUGGAAGUGUUGUAUGACAGAUCAAAUGUAAAUUAAUUUGAUUUACUUGACAGAUACCUUACAAGGCAGGAAGGUGGACUUGACACAUAUGAUGGUUGGGUAGAGGUUUUACUCGGUUUUCAACUCAAUCUUCUCUUUUCUAAUGUUUUUUUUUGUAGUGUUGGCGUUGUUUCCUUUACACGCUGUGAUUGAUGUGGAAAUAACCUACAAAUAAUGACGAUGCAUUCUUCUUAAUCGGCACAUCCAAUCAUGUAUGAUGAAAAGCGUAUUCAAAUACCUCUUGAAAUUUCUAUGCAAGAAAAACAAGAUGAGAUGUUUGAACAAGGGAUGAUUACUACAGCCCAUCCCAAGAUUUCCGCCUCCGGCUUUAUUUCCUGAAGAGGACCUCCCCUUUAUCAUUCUACCUAUUGUUUUGUAACAUGAGCUGUGGGAUGUAAUCUAGCUGAUGAACAAAAACAGCCUUCCGUCUGUCAGUAAGCACAUAUAAGGGACGUGGAUGACUAGCCACAGCUUCAUUUCUCACGAUUACAUAUUUCUUAGAGGUUUGUUGUCAAUCGGGAGAACUUUAAGAUGAAAAAUGUAUGCAUCGGAACACUUUUUUUGCUUUGCAUCGUACCUGUUCUCCUAUGGCCAAUGGAAGAGUCACUGCAUCCACUGCCAGCAUCAUUGGCGGAAGAAGGAUUCGAAGUAGCUGGUCGGCAUCCGAGGGCAGUUCGUUCUACUCCAGCUACAGCAACUACCAGUAGCCGUAAAACCUCGACCAAAAGUCCAGUUCCGGCAGAGCGUAAGGUGUCCACUACGACUCACCAUACUGGCCCGACGCUCACUCCUACCCACCAUUCUCAAUUAAGGACAACGAAAAAAACCAAGUUAAA